Molecule: long non-coding RNA, 247 nt
Filed under: Elaeis guineensis (African oil palm)
Lineage: Eukaryota; Viridiplantae; Streptophyta; Magnoliopsida; Arecales; Arecaceae
Description: long non-coding RNA (EGUI_LNC043352)
Source: RNAcentral
UGUCUAAGGCAAGUUAAUGAGAUAUAGUUAUUUAAUUGGUUCCGUUAGUCGAUCUGACUAAUUUAUUGGUAUCUUAGGAAGGCAACGGGGGGAUCCCCACUGAUCUCUACUUACCUGGUCAAUUUGGAAGAUUGGGUCUUGAAUUAGGUUACUAAGCAAUCUGGUUUAGUCCAUACUAGUUAGAUCGAUCAUAUGAUGACUGAUUAGAUGAGACCUAAAUCUGAACCUUCCCACAAAUAUUAAGUCC